This 632-nucleotide long non-coding RNA is filed under the name Saimiri boliviensis boliviensis (Bolivian squirrel monkey). RNAcentral's name for it is "lncRNA (ENSSBOG00000036526.1)". Lineage: Eukaryota; Metazoa; Chordata; Mammalia; Primates; Cebidae. The record is from RNAcentral.
CGGGCGUGCUGAGCCCUCGCCCCUCCCUCGGGCAGUCACCUGGGCACCCGCGCUACAGGUGCCGGGGCCUCGAUCUUGCGGAGCCGGCGGCCAUCGAUCUUCGGAGCUUACUCACAUGGCAUUUUGGUAUAGCAAAAUGAAAUGCAAGGAACCAAAAAUAACAUAAUUGAAGGCAGUAAACCUGAAGUUAAAUAGAAAGAUCAUCAGUCCAGGAAGACCUACUGGAGAGUAAGUAUGCAAAUUCUUAAGAAUUAAUUGGGUUACAAAGAGAAAAACAGAGACUGGGUCAGUGAAAAGGAAUCAUGGUUUGUUUCCCUGAGGCCCUGCUAAUACCUCCAAACUGGGCCAGAUUGUAAAGCAAGAUACUUUGAAAAGGACUUUCACAUUAACUUUUCAGGUUGCAUGAGAGUUGAUUCACAAGUAGUUUUAAAAAUCAUGCAGGAAAAGGACCAGAUCUUAGAAAUCUGAGCCCCUAUAUUUACUGUGAACAAUUUUCAAGGGAAAAUUCGGGUAGCUUAUCAACAGAUUUCUGUGUUGUCCAGGGAGUUGUUUUAAAAAACAAAAUAUUGGAAUUUUGAACACUUAUGGUGGUUUAUGGGGUAAUUAGGGUAGAGUAUAUAAAACUGGUUUCA